AGAUUGAACGCUGGCGGCAGGCCUAACACAUGCAAGUCGAGCGGCAGCACGGGUACUUGUACCUGGUGGCGAGCGGCGGACGGGUGAGUAAUGCCUAGGAAUCUGCCUGGUAGUGGGGGAUAACGCUCGGAAACGGACGCUAAUACCGCAUACGUCCUACGGGAGAAAGCAGGGGACCUUCGGGCCUUGCGCUAUCAGAUGAGCCUAGGUCGGAUUAGCUAGUUGGUGAGGUAAUGGCUCACCAAGGCGACGAUCCGUAACUGGUCUGAGAGGAUGAUCAGUCACACUGGAACUGAGACACGGUCCAGACUCCGUACGGGAGGCAGGCAGGUGGGAAAUAGUUAGGAACAAGUGGGACGAAAGCCUGGACUCCAGCCAUCGCCGUCGUGUGUGAAAGAAGGUCUUACGGUAUUAGAAAGUCACGUUUUAAGGUGGGAAGGAA
This 442-nucleotide ribosomal RNA is filed under the name uncultured soil bacterium. RNAcentral's name for it is "bacterial SSU rRNA". It matches the Rfam family "Bacterial small subunit ribosomal RNA", at positions 26 to 450 of the family's 1533-position model. The record is from RNAcentral.